This 538-nucleotide transfer RNA is filed under the name uncultured Prochlorococcus sp. RNAcentral describes it as "partial 16S-23S ribosomal RNA intergenic spacer". The stretch from base 211 to 283 matches the Rfam family "tRNA". Lineage: Bacteria; Bacillati; Cyanobacteriota; Cyanophyceae; Synechococcales; Prochlorococcaceae. The record is from RNAcentral.
CAGGGAGACAACAAAAUGUUUAAUAUUAUUAUUUUGUCACCUUAGGUCGAUCGGUAUCUCACGUUCUUAAUUUAUUAAGAAUUUCAUUUCCUAAGUUUUUCUAGGUCACACCCAUUAUUUUCCUGGGCCAUUAGCUCAGGUGGUUAGAGCGCACCCCUGAUAAGGGUGAGGUCCCUGGUUCAAGUCCAGGAUGGCCCAUAUCUCUAUGUUGGGGGUAUAGCUCAGUUGGUAGAGCGCCUGCUUUGCAAGCAGGAUGUCAGCGGUUCGAGUCCGCUUACCUCCACUGAUUACCACCUCUUCCAUAAUCUGUAGAAAGGAAAAUUUUGAGUUGUGACAAAAUUCUGAACGAAUCUAGCUUCCUAAUGAAAGCAUUAAGAUGCUGGACUCAUUGAAUUAAUUUCAUUGUUUUCAGAGAACCUUGACAACUGCAUAGAUUAUUUUUAAAGACAAUAAGCAUCUUUAAUGAUGCAGAUUUAUUAUUUUUGCAAAUGCAUUAAUAACAAUUCUAUUAAGCUGAUGCUUCAAUUAUGAAGUUAUU